GACGAACGCUGGCGGCGUGCUUAACACAUGCAAGUCGAAUGGAAAGGCCCUGCUUUUGUGGGGUGCUCGAGUGGCGAACGGGUGAGUAACACGUGAGUAACCUGCCCUUGACUUCGGGAUAACUUCAGGAAACUGGGGCUAAUACCGGAUAGGAGCUCCUGCUGCAUGGUGGGGGUUGGAAAGUUUCGGCGGUUGGGGAUGGACUCGCGGCUUAUCAGCUUGUUGGUGGGGUAGUGGCUUACCAAGGCUUUGACGGGUAGCCGGCCUGAGAGGGUGACCGGCCACAUUGGGACUGAGAUACGGCCCAGACUCCUACGGGAGGCAGCAGUGGGGAAUAUUGCACAAUGGGCGGAAGCCUGAUGCAGCAACGCCGCGUGCGGGAUGACGGCCUUCGGGUUGUAAACCGCUUUCGCCUGUGACGAAGCGUGAGUGACGGUAAUGGGUAAAGAAGCACCGGCUAACUACGUG
This 468-nucleotide ribosomal RNA is filed under the name uncultured bacterium. RNAcentral's name for it is "partial 16S ribosomal RNA". It matches the Rfam family "Bacterial small subunit ribosomal RNA", at positions 28 to 507 of the family's 1533-position model. The record is from RNAcentral.